AUGAUCCUGUGGCUAAACCUGGUGUCCUUAGUAGUAGUCCUCAGAGGUGUCCAGUCUGAGGUCCAGUUGGUGGAGUCUGGAGGGGACGUGAGAAGGCCUGGAGAGUCCCUCCGCCUCUCCUGCCAAGCCUCUGGCUUCGACUUCAGCAGCCAUUGGAUGAGUUGGGUGAGACAGGCUCCAGGAAAAGGACUCGAAUGGGUGGCACUCAUAUGGCCAAAUUCUGGUACUCACUACUCUGCCAAAGUCAAGGGACGCUUCACCAUCUCCAGGGACAACUCCAAAAGCCAAGUCUAUCUGCAAAUGAACAGUCUGAAGCCGGAGGACACAGCAGUCUAUUACUGUGCAGGAGACACAGUGAGAGGAAGUGAGUCUGAAGCCUGGCAAGAACCUUCCCUUGGUCAGAGCUACUAUGCAAGCUCUGGGUUCAACUUCGGGGGUUAUUGGAUGAGCUGGGUGAGACAGGCCCAUGGAAAGGGGCUGGAGUUGGUGGCACGGAUAAGCUCUGGUUCUGGUUCCAGUACUUACUACUCGGACAAAGUGAAGGGACGGUUCACCAUCUCCAGGGACAACUCCAAAAGCCAAGUCUACCUGCAAAUGAACAGGCUGAAGCCGGAGGACUCGGCAGUCUAUUACUGUGCG
This is a non-coding RNA of Candoia aspera, 639 nucleotides long. The record is from the annotation of a RefSeq genome assembly. NCBI's taxonomy places the organism in Eukaryota, Metazoa, Chordata, Lepidosauria, Squamata, Candoiidae.